AAUUUUGGACAAUGGGGGAAACCCUGAUCCAGCCAUCCCGCGUGUAUGAUGAAGGCCUNCGGGUUNUNAAGUACUUUGGGCAGAGNCGCAUAGGCAUCCCCUAAUACGGGAUACUGCUGACGGUAGCUGUUGAAUAAGCACCGGCUAACAACGUUCCAGCAGCCGCGGUAAUACGUCGGGUGCAAGCGUUCAUCGGAAUUACUGGGCGUAAAGCGUGUGUAGGCGGUUCGGAAAGAAAUAUGUUAAAUCCCAGGGCUCAACCUUGGAACUGCAUGUUUAUCGGCCGAACUAGAGUAUGUCGGAUGGGGGUAGAAUUCCACGUGUAGCAGUGAAAUGCGUCGAUAUGUGGAGGAAUACCGAUGGCGAAGGCAGCCCCCUGGGAUAAUACUGACGCUCAGACACGAAAGCGUGGGGAGCAAACAGG
RNAcentral lists this ribosomal RNA (424 nucleotides) under uncultured bacterium. RNAcentral's name for it is "partial 16S ribosomal RNA". It matches the Rfam family "Bacterial small subunit ribosomal RNA", at positions 360 to 776 of the family's 1533-position model. The record is from RNAcentral.